Long non-coding RNA from Peromyscus californicus insignis, 1092 nucleotides. RefSeq lists it as uncharacterized. The transcript has 6 exons. The record is from RefSeq and is a predicted model, not a curated record. NCBI's taxonomy places the organism in Eukaryota, Metazoa, Chordata, Mammalia, Rodentia, Cricetidae.
CGGAUGAUCUCAACUGCGUCAUAGCUUUCCAUCGCUGGCAUUGUGUUGUUGAUCGAAUUCAUUUUAUCUUUAUGAAUGGAAAGAAAACCAAAGCUUAUAAUGAUGAUUGUAGUGUGGAGAUUUCCUGGGCCCUACCUUUCCUCUGUCCACAACCAGGAUUCUGCUGUGAUGCCUUCCUUGGAAAACAGGUCCUAUGGGAGAUCUCAUUCCUUUAUCUUUGGAACCUUCUAGAAGCUGUCACUCUCCUUUGCUCAUGGCCUCUUCUUUCAUCUAGCUGAGGUUCUUUCUCAUCACCACCUAUCUGAUGUCAUCUUCAACUUCAAAGGACCUUUGUGACUAUGAUGGACUGACCCAAAUGGACAUGGAUUUAUUUUCUCAUCAUAAAACCGUGUGACUGGAUUCUUCAAACUCUGCCUAAUAUUUGGCUAUGGGUCUCUGCAUCUGUUUCUAUCAGUUGCUAGAUGAAGCCUCUUUGAUGACAUUUUGAUUAAGCACCAAUCUCCUCAAUCUUCCUGUGAAGUGGAGAAGGAUACCUCCUGAUCCUCUUGCCUACACUUCCCGAGGCCUGGAGUUGCAGACAGAGACUACUAUAGAAAGCCACAUGCAAUCAAGAUGUAGUAUUGUGGAGCAGAGUUCCAACGAAUAGACACAUUUAGAAAAUAUUCCUGUGUGGUGAUAUUUUAUUUGUGCUGAAAUGUGGUGAUAUUUUAUUUGUGCAUUAAUAAAUAAAGCUUGCCUGGAGAUCAGGGGGGAAAGGCCAGCCAUUUUAAAUAAACAAAGAAGUCAGGCAGCACACACAUUAAUCCCUUAGCAGGCAGGAUCUCUGUGUGUUCAAGGCCAUUCUAGGGAACAGAGCCAAGUGUGGUGACACAGGCCUUUAUCCCAGUACCAACCAUAGAGACUGGGAGGUCUAUUCAGACAGACAGACAGUGAGAGAGCUGUGAAGGAAGAGGAAAUGAUGUAGCUGGGCUAAGAGCCAGUGAGAGGGCAGAAAGGCAAGGCAUAUAAGCUUGGGUAGACAGGAAGUCACUCUCUCCUUGGAAGCUGCGGAGUUGGUGAGGUUAGCUGGUGGCUUUCCGUAUUUCCCUGAUC